CAAAAACAUCACCUCUAGCAUUACAAGUUUAGGAGGCACUGCCUGCCCAGUGACACACGUUAAACGGCCGCGGUAUCCUGACCGUGCAAAGGUAGCAUAAUCACUUGUUCCUUAAUUAGGGACUUGCAUGAAAGGCAAGACGAGGGCUUAACUGUCUCUUACUUCCAAUCAGUGAAAUUGACCUACCCGUGAAGAGGCGGGUAUAAAUAAAUAAGACGAGAAGACCCUGUGGAGCUUUAAUUAACUCUCCUAUCCACUAAAACUAAUACCCUAAUGGAUCAACAAACACAGAGAGCUAGGAGAAAAAUUUCGGUUGGGGUGACCUCGGAGCAUAAAAAAUCCUCCGAAUGACUUAACUCUAAGCCUACCAGCCUAGAGGUGCUCAAGCAAUCAACAAUUGACCCAAUAAUAAAUUGAUCAACGGACCAAGUUACCCCAGGGAUAACAGCGCAAUCCUAUUUAAGAGUCCCUAUCGACAAUAGGGUUUACGACCUCGAUGUUGGAUCAGGACACCCAAAUGGUGCAACCGCUAUUAAUGGUUCGUUUGUUCAACGAUUAAAGUCCUACGUGAUCUGAG
RNAcentral lists this ribosomal RNA (577 nucleotides) under Nannospalax hungaricus. Its description in RNAcentral is "LSU rRNA". It matches the Rfam family "Bacterial large subunit ribosomal RNA", at positions 1808 to 2609 of the family's 2925-position model. Lineage: Eukaryota; Metazoa; Chordata; Mammalia; Rodentia; Spalacidae. The record is from RNAcentral.